Molecule: ribosomal RNA, 253 nt
Filed under: uncultured bacterium
Lineage: Bacteria
Description: partial 16S ribosomal RNA
Rfam family: Bacterial small subunit ribosomal RNA
Source: RNAcentral
UACGGGGGGAGCAAGCGUUGUUCGGAUUUACUGGGCGUAAAGGGUGCGUAGGUGGUGAGGUAAGUCGGAUGUGAAAUCUCCGGGCUUAACCCGGAAACUGCAUUGGAAACUACCUUGCUGGAGGGUUUGAGGGGGGACUGGAAUUCUCGGUGUAGCAGUGAAAUGCGUAGAUAUCGAGAGGAACACCGGUGGCGAAGGCGAGUCCCUGGAAAACACCUGACACUGAGGCACGAAAGCUAGGGGAGCAAACAGG